UUGACUAUUAGCACAAUGCUAUAAUUGAGCUAAUCUCUGUAGUUUGGUGCAGGACCACCAAGUUUGUGUGACCUAUUACCUACUUUUUCCAUGCUCAGCCAUUACCCUGUCCUGGGGCAUCUGAGGGCAAUAAGGAACAGGUGUCCAAAGGAGGAAUGUUGGUGCCUAUGGUAUGUUUUCCAGUUGUAUUGAAUUUCUUACUUGGUGUAUUUUUGACUUGUCUUAGUUUCUUUCCUUGUGAUCUAUGCUAUUUUACUUGCUAUUUGUUGGAUAUUCUCCCCUGUCAUUAAAAGGGAGUUAUAAAAUGGAAGUUAGUAUUUCUAUGCAAAUGCCUAGGUUUAGUGUUGAUUUUUGCAGGUGUCCUUCAACAAGUGUGAAGGUGAUAAAUGUGUUUCCAUGGCUUUAGACUCAUUUUUGAAGUAUUGGAUUGUGUGAACAUUCUUAGAAACAAUAGAAUGUUUUAAUUAAAAGCCCUCGACUACCAGUUGAACUCAGUGUCUACUAGGAAAAUGGGUAGAUUUGUUACAUUGUCCCUUUGCUCUCUAUGACUUUGUUCCAGUUGUCAAGGAAUUUAAAUGGGUAUUCAGGGAAAAAGAAUUCUUGUUUCCCUUUCUUCACCUUGCCAGUUAAAACAAAUAACUCCUGGUGAUACUUCAGGUGGUAGAAUUGAAACAAAACCUGACUUCUGACCACAUGGGUCAAAGGCAAAUGGCUUCAUUUGCCUUUAGUGUGGUUAUCCAGUUUGGGUAGUGAGGAGAUAACUUCUGCUUUCCUCCCUGAGGAGUUUGGAGUAUUUAAGCGGGGAAGGGGGGGAGGUGUCACUUUGAAAAUAUGUUGCUUUUUCUCCUGAUUGUAUUGAGGCUGAUAUGGAAGGGUUAUUUCUUUCUGGCCAGUACUUUUUGGUAUUUGUAAAUAUUGCAAUUUUGAUUUUUACUAUUUGUUAAUUGUCAGUUCUGGCUUUUUUUGCAUAAGGAGUUGGUCCAUUAACUUGUCAAUUUGAAGCUUCUAACUAGAUAUUCCCUACUGAAAGUUUUGGAUUUGUUUUUAGUUUGUGGAGCAGUCUUAGCUGGGGACAGGUAAUUAACAACAGCAGAGAUACUUCCUUUUCCUAGGAUUCUAAGUCUGUAAUCCACAUCCUCAGUGUAUUCACAGGACUUUAAAAUUCUCUCCAAAUGAGGAAGGAAAUAUCCUGUUGCUUUCUAAUGUUUACUAAAAGUUGUGUUUAGAACAACAGAUUUUAAUAGGCAUCUUCCUUUGUUAUGUGUCAUUAGCCCUUUGCCCGUUUACCUUAGGGUUCUUUGAAGGAGAAAUGGAUGGGAGAAAACCUGUCACUUGGAAAAAGUAAAAGGAAUAAUUAACUGACUCAGAGCUUAUGUGCAGAGUUCCCAGCCUCAAAGUUAAUCUGGAACUGCUCGAUAGCACCAAUAAAAAUAUUUAUUUCACAUCUGUUAUUUCUGGAAAAUGUUCUAAGCAUCUUACAUAUAUUUCUCAUUAAAUUCACAGGUGGCCAUUGUGAGGUAGAUAUUUUGUUCUCAUUUUCCAGAUGAGGAAGCUGAGACCCUAAAAGGCUGACCGGUUCCCUGAUGUGUUACCUGCUUCUGCUACUGAUCCAAACUGCAGAACUUCUCCCCCAAGGCCUCCAGGCAGUAUCCAAUGGGGAAUCAGCUCUAAAAGGAACCAGACCAACGUUUUCCAGCCCCUUCAUUCUGUAGCUACCCUCUGUGUGAGGAAAGGAUAGAAAUGUUCAGGACAUCAUCAUACAGGCUCCUCAUCUACAAAGUUCCAGUAGCAGUGACGCCUACACGGAAGACUUGGAACUGCAAACAGAGGCUGGGGUCACCUCAGUGACAUCUCCUGACGCUGUCCAACCAGAAGUUCGAUUUUUGUUCUGGGGGUGAAGGAGGAAACAGACUGUACUAAAGGACUAAAAUAAUUUCUUGUCUAUACUA
This is a long non-coding RNA of Mandrillus leucophaeus (drill), 1949 nucleotides long. RefSeq lists it as uncharacterized. The record is from RefSeq and is a predicted model, not a curated record. NCBI's taxonomy places the organism in Eukaryota, Metazoa, Chordata, Mammalia, Primates, Cercopithecidae. The transcript is spliced from 3 exons.